GUGCUUGCUUCGGUAGCACAUACAAUAAAGUUGGGUGGAUACAGAGAAGAUAAUUACGUGUCCAGCACAAGCAUAACAUGAAAAUUCAUGAAACAUUUCAUAUNNNN
This is a small nuclear RNA of Cavia aperea (Brazilian guinea pig), 107 nucleotides long. The record is from Ensembl. Lineage: Eukaryota; Metazoa; Chordata; Mammalia; Rodentia; Caviidae.